RNAcentral lists this non-coding RNA (28 nucleotides) under Gallus gallus (chicken). Lineage: Eukaryota; Metazoa; Chordata; Aves; Galliformes; Phasianidae. The record is from RNAcentral. RNAcentral also lists the same sequence under 5 other names.
GGUCGGGGUUUCGUACGUAGCAGAGCAG